UAUUAGAAAAAAUAAAUACGCUAUUUUAAUAUUUUUUACUGAGAAUAUUUCGAAUACAUAUCCAUUUUGCAAAUAUCCUACAAGAGUAAUUGUAUCAAGCACAAGAUACUCGACAUUUUCCAAUCAAGUAAACAUUGGCCGGUCGAAGAUCCUCGUACACCGCGAUCACGCGUACUACUUACAACACGAGCGAGCGAGCGAAUGUGUAUAUAGAGGCGAACACUUCCACGAUCAUGGAUUCCUAGGCAAGCAUUCCCUACUCUCGAAUUAUAACACACGGAUUGUGUUACAGCGCGAUAGCCGCGCAGGACUUACAAUCCUAGAGGGCGUAUAAACGGCGCGUCGCAUUGUAAAACGUCACUUCACGAUGUGUGCUUAGGUUACGUGAAGUAGAGAAGCGUGUUUGACUAUUUCUAGAGAGCUGACAGAGAAAACAAAGGUACGGAGAAGGAAGAUACUUAUACGUGGGCGAGCGUGUAGACUGGACUUUGAUUCUCAAUGCCAAACAAAACUCCACGAGCCGUGAAAUCGUUCGGUUCUCGUCAUUGAUCGUAAUUAUAGAAGAUUCCAGACCAUUUAAUCGACUGAUUUUUCGGUAUCGUACGGUGAAGCUUGGCCCAUAGAAUGGCAGGAUAAAGCGUACAUCGGUUCACCCUUCCUUUGUACCAAUGUUCCAUGGAAUGACCUUGUUAUUUUUUACUACGUUACCUCGGGGUUUACUACUGGCCCGCCAGUUUUGCACCAUCCUCGGAGAUAAGGAACGAAAUAAAGUAAAGAAUUUAUGAUCUCGAGGCAGAUAAUCCGACUACGAUUCGAUGUAUAGCGAAGGGAUACACACGUAUUGAUUUUAAAUAAAAAUUCCAAAAUUGGCGUCAAAUAGCAAGGGUAUUAAAAUGAAAAUAUGUUUGAAUCUUGUGAUAAUUAUUGAACGUUCGAUAUAAAAGUGUACUCUUCAAAAAAAAAAAAAAAA
Apis mellifera (honey bee) is the source of this 970-nucleotide long non-coding RNA. RefSeq lists it as uncharacterized. NCBI's taxonomy places the organism in Eukaryota, Metazoa, Arthropoda, Insecta, Hymenoptera, Apidae. The transcript is spliced from 2 exons. The record is from RefSeq and is a predicted model, not a curated record.